This 497-nucleotide ribosomal RNA is filed under the name uncultured bacterium. RNAcentral describes it as "partial 16S ribosomal RNA". It matches the Rfam family "Bacterial small subunit ribosomal RNA", at positions 28 to 507 of the family's 1533-position model. The record is from RNAcentral.
GACGAACGCUGGCGGCGCGCCUAAUACAUGCAAGUAGAACGCUGAAGAGAGGAGCUUACUCUUCUUGGAUGAGUUGCGAACGGGUGAGUAACGCGUAGGUAACCUGCCUUGUAGCGGGGGAUAACUAUUGGAAACGAUAGCUACUACCGCAUAACAAUGGAUGACACAUGUCAUCUAUUUGAAAGGGGCAAUUGCUCCACUACAAGAUGGACCUGCGUUGUAUUAGCUAGUAGGUGAGCUAAUGGCUCACCUAGGCGACGAUACAUAGCCGACCUGAGAUGCUGAUAGGCCCAACUGAGACUGAGGCACGCCCCGGACUCCGCCGGGGGGCAGCAGUCGGGAAUCCUCGGCAACGGGGGCAAUCCUGACCGAGCAACGCCGCGUCAGUGAGGAAGGCUUCCGGAUCGGAAAGCUCUGUUGUAAGUCAAGAACGGGUGUGAGAGUGGAAAGUGCACCCUGUGACGGCAGCUUACCAGAAAUGGACGGCUAACUACGAG